Long non-coding RNA from Setaria italica (foxtail millet), 674 nucleotides. RefSeq lists it as uncharacterized. The transcript is spliced from 3 exons. The record is from RefSeq and is a predicted model, not a curated record. Lineage: Eukaryota; Viridiplantae; Streptophyta; Magnoliopsida; Poales; Poaceae.
GUUUGUAGGCACUUUGUCUGCUUACUGGGAGUUGCCUGAUGGGGCGUCCACUCAAAUUUGCAUGGUUUGAUAAGAACAGCUAUGAUCCUAACAGGUAAACGCCACCCUGAAUGCACUCUGUUGUUUAACUCGUCAGCUUAGAUUUCGUUUCUCAGAGAUACUCUUCCUGCAAUGGAGUUACUGCCUGGUAGAGUACCUCGCACCAUCUACAUUGAGGGCUUCGAUUCAUCUCUCAGUAUCCCAGAGAUCAGAAGCAUGCUCAAAUCUCAUUUCGACCGUAGUCGACUACAUGGCCGACGCAUUAUCACCCCACAGAAUCCAGAUGGCACAAGCACAGGGAAACCAAGUUGACUGGAAAGCCUUUGUGCGUUUCCAGAGCCGCAUUGACUUUGUUGCAGCACUUGAGCGGAAUGAGCUGGACCUAGGGGAUGGUUGCAAACUGCACGUCAGAUGGCUUGAGCUGCUGAAUUUUCCAUGGCAUCAAAAGAAGAAAGAAGGUGGCAAUGUUGGUAGCGUGGGAGCUUAGAAGAUUACGGAGAUGAUAGUUCAGCCUUUCUUAAGGUCGGCCAUGAUCAAGAAGUAUCACACUCCCAAUAUCAAUACAAAGUGUAAAGAGGAUUUGGAACCCCAAAAUAUCAAUACCAACAUCCACGCUGCCAAUUUGUUUUUUUUUC